AGCGUGGGCUCUGCCACUUGGAAGUAUGGCCUAACAGGCUAAAUGGGAAGAGGAAAGGGGGAAUUUUCCCCAGACUCUCUUUUAAAAUAUUAUUUCACAUUAUUCCAUCAUGCUUAUAGGAUACAAUUUCUGCCUACUCAUUUUCUCAUUUCCUUAGUAGUAAGUUUCAGUAAGCCUUACAUUAGAAGAGUUGCUUUUCUGUUCUAAUGACAUUGUAAGUUCACAAAAUAUAUCUUAGGUAAACAAAUGUUUGGCUUUUGUUAUUUAUUUAUUAGCUGAAUGAUCACCAUAUCAAAUAAACACAGCGAUGAUUUCUGCUGUGACACACCAUGCAUCAAAGACAGAAAAGACCAUAGAAAGGACAGGACAGAAACACUGUCAUAUUUAUAUCUACCAACUUGCAAGGCCAUUUGAGAAGCUCCAUUUGGACUCCAGUCUCUCAGUAGCUCACAGGAUUGACAUUUCUUAGUUGGCUGAAACUACAAAUUACGGCCUUGAACAGCAGGUGUUCGAAGUCCAGUUGCACAAUCACAGCAGUUGCCUGGCAUCUGAGAAUUCCUAAAGCCAUGCAGAAAGAAGGAUCCUGUUGCAGCAUCGUUCUUCCUGGCCAGUCGAGCGCGCGCAAGAAGUGGUGCCGAAAACCCGGGACAAGAAACAUCUUCAGGCACGAGCGAAGACCCCCUGCUACAGGGAGGAUUCAGAACUGCAUCACGGGGAAGGAGCAGUCAAUAAAGGUUCCCGUAAAACAGACUGCUGAGAAGGAUCUGGCGUGGAUUCAGAACUCUUCAGCUGGGGAACGGUGGUAAUGAAGUGUUCCUGCAAAACAGACUGCUGAGAAGGAUCCAGAGUGGAUUCAGAACUCUUCAGCUGAGGAACGGUGGUACCGGUAAGUAGAAAGAAAUUAAUAUGAGUGGCAUGCUCUCCUACGAAAUAGAUCUGAUAAUUGUUGCUGGGGUUGCUAUCUUUCUUGCCUUGAUCUUAUAUCAUGGCUUUAUUUGUCAACUCCCAAUAAGUAAAGAUACAAAAAAUAGU
RNAcentral lists this long non-coding RNA (1032 nucleotides) under Mus musculus (house mouse). Its description in RNAcentral is "RIKEN cDNA 2310067P03 gene". The record is from RNAcentral. Lineage: Eukaryota; Metazoa; Chordata; Mammalia; Rodentia; Muridae.